GACGAACGCUGGCGGCGUGCUUAACACAUGCAAGUCGAACGGAAAGGCCCUGCUUUUGUGGGGUGCUCGAGUGGCGAACGGGUGAGUAACACGUGAGUAACCUGCCCUUGACUUUGGGAUAACUUCAGGAAACUGGGGCUAAUACCGGAUAGGAGCUCCUGCUGCAUGGUGGGGGGUGGAAAGUUGCGGCGGUUGGGGAUGGACUCGCGGCUUAUCAGCUUGUUGGUGGGGUAGUGGCUUACCAAGGGUUUGACGGGUAGCCGGCCUGAGAGGGUGACCGGGCACAAUGGGACUGAGAGACGGAGCAGACUCGUACGGGAGGCAGCGGUGGGGAGUAUUGCCCAAUGGGCGGAAGCCUGAUGCAGCGACGCCGCGUGCGGGAUGACGGCCUUCGGGUUGUAAACAGCUUUAGCCUGUGACGAAGCGGGAGUGACGGUAAUGGAUAAAGAAGCACCGGCUAACUACGUG
Molecule: ribosomal RNA, 468 nt
Filed under: uncultured bacterium
Lineage: Bacteria
Description: partial 16S ribosomal RNA
Rfam family: Bacterial small subunit ribosomal RNA
Source: RNAcentral